UACGAACUGUGCAAACGUUAUUCGGAUUCACUGGGCUUAAAGGGUGCGUAGGCGGCCAUGUAAGUAGGGUGUGAAAUCCCCCGGCUUAACCGGGGAACUGCGCCCUAAACUGUGUGGCUUGAGUGAGAUAGGGGUGUGUGGAACUUCCGGUGGAGCGGUGAAAUGUGUUGAUAUCGGAAGGAGCGCCGGUGGCGAAAGCGACACACUGGGUCUCAACUGACGCUGAGGCACGAAAGCCAGGGGAG
Molecule: ribosomal RNA, 245 nt
Filed under: uncultured bacterium
Lineage: Bacteria
Description: partial 16S ribosomal RNA
Rfam family: Bacterial small subunit ribosomal RNA
Source: RNAcentral